UUACGGUCUUAUCACGAUGAACCACCUGUUCCCGUACGAUCACCGAAGUUAAGAAAUAUCGAUCCAAGUCAGUACCUAAAUGGGUGACCACUUGGGAAUACCAGGUGUUGUUA
This is a non-coding RNA of Acanthosepion pharaonis, 113 nucleotides long. The record is from the annotation of a GenBank genome assembly. Lineage: Eukaryota; Metazoa; Mollusca; Cephalopoda; Sepiida; Sepiidae.